Molecule: long non-coding RNA, 830 nt
Filed under: Homo sapiens (human)
Lineage: Eukaryota; Metazoa; Chordata; Mammalia; Primates; Hominidae
Description: non-protein coding lnc-DAB2IP-3:1
Source: RNAcentral
GAAGCCCCGCCCUGAUAUAACCGCUCAGUGCACGGCCAUGGUGCUUACAUCAGCUCUAUAUAAGUAUUUGUUGCUUAAAAGUUGGGGAAUCCCUUGGACGGGCAUGGUGGCUCACGCCUGUAAUCCCAGCGUUUUGGGAGGCCAAGGCAGGAGGAUCACUUAAGCCCAGGAAAGUGGAGGGUAGGAAAGAAGGAGAAGGGUAUGGAGCCUUUUGCCAUUUAAUUUAUAUAAAAGACCCAAUAUUUUUAGUAAAGACUGGGUUUGGCACGUUGGUCAGGCUGGUCUCGAACUCCCGACCUCAGGUGAUCCACCCACCUUGGCCUCCCAAAGUGCUGGGAUUACAGGCGUGAGCUACCAUCGGACCAGGUCCACACCACACGUCUCAGAAAACGAAUCUGAAGACCAGCCUGAGCCACCCACAGCCAGGAAAGAAAACUCUGGGGGAAGAGACAGGAAAUCCUCGAUGCUGCCCCAAAGCAGAUGGAUUUGGGGGUUGGCUCUUGCCCCAGGUUGUCGGGCACACAGAGAAGGCCACCAGCUGCACCCAGAUUCACUAGCAAAGGAAGAGUCCUCAGCCCAUUCCCAGUUUGCCCCAGAGGGGACGACUUUUCAGAGAGGACAGCAGUGAGAUGCAGGAGAAGAUGUUUGUCCUGGGUUGAUCUCUGUUCCCACCUCUGCCCCUGAGCCUCACGAGUUAAAGAUGAGGCUCAGGCUGCGCGCGGUGACUCACACCUUAAUCCCAGCACUUUGGGAGGCCGAGGUGGGCAGAUCAUGAGGUCAGGCAAAAAAAUUAGCCAGGCAUGGUGGUGCAUGCCUGUAAUCUCAGCUAC